AACGAACGCUGGCGGCAUGCCUAACACAUGCAAGUCGAACGAGACCUUCGGGUCUAGUGGCGCACGGGUGCGUAACGCGUGGGAACCUGCCCUUAGGUUCGGAAUAACUCCCCGAAAGGGGUGCUAAUACCGGAUAAUGUCUUCGGACCAAAGAUUUAUCGCCUUUGGAUGGGCCCGCGUUGGAUUAGCUAGUUGGUAGGGUAAAAGCCUACCAAGGCGACGAUCCAUAGCUGGUCUGAGAGGAUGAUCAGCCACACUGGGACUGAGACACGGUCCAGACUCCUACGGGAGGCAGCAGUGGGGAAUAUUGGACAAUGGGCGAAAGCCUGAUCCAGCAAUGCCGCGUGAGUGAUGAAGGCCUUAGGGUUGUAAAGCUCUUUUACCCGGGAUGAUAAUGACAGUACCGGGAGAAUAAGCUCCGGCUAACUACGUG
RNAcentral lists this ribosomal RNA (433 nucleotides) under uncultured bacterium. RNAcentral's name for it is "partial 16S ribosomal RNA". It matches the Rfam family "Bacterial small subunit ribosomal RNA", at positions 29 to 507 of the family's 1533-position model. The record is from RNAcentral.